RNAcentral lists this ribosomal RNA (431 nucleotides) under uncultured rumen bacterium. RNAcentral's name for it is "bacterial SSU rRNA". It matches the Rfam family "Bacterial small subunit ribosomal RNA", at positions 966 to 1381 of the family's 1533-position model. The record is from RNAcentral.
GGACCUUACCAAGUCUUGACAUCUGGCUGAACGAGGAAGUAAUGUUGCUUUUCCUUCGGGACAGCCAAUACAGGGGGGGCUGGGUUUUCUCCACCCCGGGUCGGGGAAUUUUGGGUUAAUUCCCCCAACAGGGCGCAACCCCUUUCUUUAUUACCCAGCGUUUCGGCCGGGCCCUCUAGAGAAACUGCCGGGGAUAACCCGGAGGAAGGUGGGGAUGACGUCAAAUCAUCAUGCCCCUUAUGAUUUGGGCUACACACGUGCUACAAUGGCGUAAACAAAGGGAAGCGACGCUGUGAAGCUGAGCAAAUCCCAAAAAUAACGUCUCGAGUUCGGAUUGUAGUCUGCAACUCGACUACAUGAAGCUGGAAUCGCUAGUAAUCGCGAAUCAAAAUGUCGCGGUGAAUACGUUCCCGGGUCUGUACCCCCCCGAA